Molecule: ribosomal RNA, 433 nt
Filed under: uncultured bacterium
Lineage: Bacteria
Description: partial 16S ribosomal RNA
Rfam family: Bacterial small subunit ribosomal RNA
Source: RNAcentral
AACGAACGCUGGCGGCAUGCCUAACACAUGCAAGUCGAACGAUCCCUUCGGGGAUAGUGGCGCACGGGUGCGUAACGCGUGGGAACCUGCCCUUAGGUUCGGAAUAACUCAGAGAAAUUUGAGCUAAUACCGGAUAAUGUCUUCGGACCAAAGAUUUAUCGCCUUUGGAUGGGCCCGCGUUGGAUUAGCCAGUUGGUGGGGUAAAGGCCUACCAAGGCGACGAUCCAUAGCUGGUCUGAGAGGAUGAUCAGCCACACUGGGACUGAGACACGGCCCAGACUCCUACGGGAGGCAGCAGUGGGGAAUAUUGGACGAUGGGCGAAAGCCUGAUCCAGCAAUGCCGCGGGAGUGAUGAAGGCCUUAGGGUUGUAAAGCUCUUUUACCCGGGAGGAUAAUGACAGUACCGGGAGAAUAAGCCCCGGCUAACUCCGUG